This 262-nucleotide ribosomal RNA is filed under the name uncultured bacterium. RNAcentral's name for it is "partial 16S ribosomal RNA". It matches the Rfam family "Bacterial small subunit ribosomal RNA", at positions 524 to 777 of the family's 1533-position model. The record is from RNAcentral.
UACGUAGGGGGCUAGCGUUGUCCGGAUUCAUUGGGCGUAAAGCGCGUGUAGGCGGCCAGGUAGGUCCGUUGUGAAAACCCGAGGCUUAACCUCGGGACGCCCGACGGAAACCAUCUGGCUAGGGUCCGGAAGAGGAGAGUGGAAUUCCCGGUGUAGCGGUGAAAUGACGCAGAUAUACGGGAAGAACGACCCGUGGCGCAAGGCGGGCUACUCUGGGACGGUACCGACGGCUGAGACGCGAAAGCGUGGGGAGCGAACAGGG